AUGCACGAUGUCCUGAUACAAAAUACGUUAUUAGAUAUAAUGUAACUUUACAAAUCCUGUUACUAAAACGAAGAGUUUGGACAUAAAUAUUCUAUUGGCAUUGAUUCUAUUUAGAUAUUAAACAUUCUACAUUUGUAUAAAAAGAUGGACAAUAUUUUGAAAUUAAUCAUUUUCAUCUUGGUCGUAAAUCCUUGUGUUGCAGAGCAAGGAUGUCAACCCGAGAUGACAAGUCCAUCUUCAAAUGUUACAGUCAUAGAAGGCGACACCGCAAUCUUACCUUGUCCAAUACAGAAACUGUGAGGUCACAGGGUUGUUUGGACGGACCAGGACACUCGAUGACCGUCGAAUAAUUGAUGAUGCUAGAAUCAGUAUCGAAAGACCAUCUGCAGUAGAUUGGAACUUGAGGAUUGUAAACACAAUGUCUUACGAUGAAGGACAAUAUGCAUGUUUGGUCAAUACAAAUCCUGUUCAGCAAACAACGGUUAUCUUAACAGUACAACAUACGAAUUUAUAAAGAUAGUAAUUCAACGGCAGAACAAAUCUGGUGGUAUUUUUGAAACAGAUACAGAAACAACCCUGUACAAGACCGACUAUGAGCAGAAACAAUUGGUCUGUAAAGAAAAUACUUCAAGAUCAAACUUAAUUUACAAUGACAACACUGACAUAACCACUGAAUUAUUGUUGAAACUUUUCCAAAGAGUAUUACACGCCGCUUCUACACACAAAAAAACUGAGUAAACUAUGUAAAUCAUUCCCUGUCUUAUGCAUAUUAUAUAUAUUGACUGCUUCGUCAAAGAAACAUUGUAUUAUAAAAGGAAACUAUCAGUAAUCCAGGUCAUUUGUAUCAAAUAAAUUAGAUAAUAAUAAAAAAUAUGAUAGCAGUACUCGG
This is a long non-coding RNA of Ruditapes philippinarum (Manila clam), 889 nucleotides long. RefSeq lists it as uncharacterized. The record is from RefSeq and is a predicted model, not a curated record. The transcript has 3 exons. Lineage: Eukaryota; Metazoa; Mollusca; Bivalvia; Venerida; Veneridae.